CUCGUCCGCUCGACAGAGACUGCGCGGAGGAUGAGGGAUGUUGGCAUGCGGGUGGUGCCUUUGCUCUCCGGGUGUCCCGAUGGGAGUUUAGAGAAGAGCCGUUCACGAAGGGGAGGUGGAAUGCGAGGUGUCCAGUGUAGGCUUCCAAGGUCUCCGUCGGCUAGACGGAUCCUUAGCUUUCCCGUCUCUGGCCUCAAUCCCCUCUGUCCCUACCACCGCCCUCCUCCUUCCCCCUACUCAAGAUACGUGCGCAACGACCAGUAGCUAGCUCUCGCUAGGUCGAUCCUACCCUGCUCGUCCUCGUCCAUUCCUCUGAUCAAGUUGUGCAUGUGGAAAAACUACGUCUUUUUGAUGGGUGCUUCGUGGGAUCACGUGCGAACUGAUGGGGUUCAUGGAGACAGCCACCGGGAUGGGCGGGGGGUUUCAGGCGCUAAUGGGACGAAAGUCGAUGGACUUCGAGCGGGCGGGCACCGCCGGCGGGCACAAGCUCUGCAAGGAGCUUGACCUCUCUGCCUUCAUAUUUCUUCUGAGCCUUUUUGUUUGGUUAAUUUGGUAGAUCUUUGCACGGAUUCUGUUGUAAAGCUGUGAGCUUUGUUGUGUUUUUUGUGCUUGGAUCCAGGUGUUUUUCUGCAUUGGAACCUGUCGUGGUUUUGUGAACUGGCGGUGAACUAACUGCUUUCACAUGUUUACAGUUACGAUUUCUCUGUAAUUUCAAUCAGAAAGUGUUUAUCUACACAUGCGGUAAUUCGUAGCUGUCAAUAGAUGUUGAGAGCCAAAUCUUCAUUUCAGAUUGUUCAAGGAAGGAUAAAAAUAUUACCAGUUUUGGAAGUUACUUGAAGUAAACUCAGAGUACCACAACCAAAAGUUUGUGAGAAAUCAAGAAAAGUUAUCCUCGUUUAUUCUCUUGUACAUUUCUAAAUGGCAUCUUGAUGGCAGUCGGUUGAGUGGAACGAUCAAACCAUCAUUGGGAAAAAUACCUAAACAACAACAAUCUCUCGGGUCAGAUACCAGACAUCCUUAAAAACAAAGCUGGACUUGAUUUGAGGACUGAGGGGAACAAAUUUGAAUGAGUCUGGCAAGGAGGAAAUACACUGAUGCUAAUUUCAACCUGAUGCUGCAUCCAUGCAUACCGAAGACACUAUUUGAUGAUGAAGGGAGAUGAGUGAAGACAAUAUUGAUGUUUGAUGUAUGCUAGCUGAAGAGGCGAUUCCAAGUGCUAAAGAAUGUAGAUCAUGUGAUCGGAUGGUUCGGUGAAUAUAUUAUGUACACUAGAGCAUCAUCACCGGGCUCUUGCAGAGAAGGUGUUAGAAGUUGAAGAAUGAAGUUUAACUCAUUGGAUGUUACAGUGUGAAGAGGAAGUGCACCGGAAACUUGCACCGGGAUGUUUUACAUAAAGAAGAAGUGGCGC
This is a long non-coding RNA of Phragmites australis (common reed), 1408 nucleotides long. RefSeq lists it as uncharacterized. NCBI's taxonomy places the organism in Eukaryota, Viridiplantae, Streptophyta, Magnoliopsida, Poales, Poaceae. The transcript has 6 exons. The record is from RefSeq and is a predicted model, not a curated record.